CCUCCACCUCCCAGCAACAGGAAAGCAGUCGCAGUUGAUUCAGCAGUGUGUGAGGUGGUGUGGACUUCUGAUGUCCCCGAUCUGGUACUGUUGACAAGUGUGUGAGCGACUGGGAGCCAUCAGUGAACUUACUUUUUAUUCACCAAUUUCUAAGUGUAUAGAAGAUUGAAAACAUAAAAGUAGAUAAACAGAAAAACUGAAAGUAGAAAAACAGAAGAGAUAAACAGGAAGGAAACUACUACAUAAACAUACUCCUUAGAAACAAAAGAAACGGAAAGGAAAGUGAAUAAAGAAAUGUGUUCUAACUGUGGUGGUGAAUUUUCGUGUUGGUGGAAGUGUGUUGAUACUUGGGUGAAGUGUUGCAAGUGAGCUUCCGCCACGUCACUCCUCAGUCCUCCGCGGCGACAAGGGGAAAAAUAAGGAGUCUGCCCAUAUACCUGCCGCUGCGACCAUCUGAUCUCCCUCCUUCAUCUCCCUCCUCCAUCUCCCUCCUCCCCAAGGCCGCAUUGCCAGCGAGGAAAGAGCGUAACAGAUGCAGCAGGACUUUCAUCACAUCGCUCUUAGUUUCACAAUCGUCCUCUCGUCGUAUUGUCGAGGUUGGCCUGGCGUGCAGUGUUAUGAUUGGUGGAGCCCUAGCCACACCACGUCUUCGGGAGCUCUCAACUUGUCCUAAUCAAACUUGGCCAGACCCAGGAGGAGCAGGAGCGAACCAAAGCCUCUCGGUCUUGACAAUUUGAUAAAGGAAUCCUGAGUCUUUGAGGGAAAUUUACUGUCAUCCUUCUUUUUUGCUUUUUAUGUAGUUUUCAUAAUUAAAUUGCUGCGUUGGGUAUAAUUACUGUGCUCUUUGGUUAUUUUUUCUCUUUGAACUUGCAUAGA
Long non-coding RNA from Portunus trituberculatus (swimming crab), 876 nucleotides. RefSeq lists it as uncharacterized. Lineage: Eukaryota; Metazoa; Arthropoda; Malacostraca; Decapoda; Portunidae. The record is from RefSeq and is a predicted model, not a curated record. The transcript has 5 exons.